This 766-nucleotide non-coding RNA is filed under the name Staphylinidae sp. BMNH 1274674. The record is from RNAcentral. Lineage: Eukaryota; Metazoa; Arthropoda; Insecta; Coleoptera; Staphylinidae.
UAAAAAUUUUAUUUUAGUUUAGGUAGUAAAUUUGUAGUUUAUUUAUAUGUAAAUAUUUGUAAUUAGUGAGUUUAAAAAGCUCGGUAAAUAAGUUUAAGGCAAUAUAUAAUUUUAAGAGUUUAAGGAGACUUAGAUUUAGGAAUCAACAAUAAUAUUAACAUAAUUUGUGCCAGCAGUUGCGGUUAUUCAAAUAAUAUAAUUUACUAGUAUUAAUUUGUAAUUAUUUGAUUUUUUAUUUAAAUUUAUAGUCUAUUAGGUGAAAUUAUAGGCUGUGAUAAAAUUGUUUAAAGAUUUUGAAGUUAUUAAAUUUUACUUAAAACUAGGAUUAGAUACCCUAUUAUAAAAAUGUAAAUUAAUAAAGUUUAAGUAGUAUUAGCUAUAGUCUUGAAAGUUAAAAAAUUUGGCGGUACUUUAAUCUAUUCAGAGGAACUUGUCCUAUAAUCGAUAAUCCACGAUUUAAUUAACUUAUUUUAAUAAUUUAUAUAUCGUCGUAGUUGAAUAUUUUUUAAGGAAUAGAAUAUUCAAAAAUUUUAAUAAAAAUAUAAAUCAGAUCAUGAUAUAGUUUAUAGAUAAGAAGAGAUGAGUUACAAAAAACUUAAUUUUAGAUUUUAUUUUGAAAAAAUAAUUGAAAUUGGAUUUGAUAGUAAUUUUACUAAAUUAGGUAAAAUGAUUUAAGCUCUAUAGUAUGCACAUAUCGCCCGUCGCUCUCAUUUAAGUUGAGAUAAGUCGUAACAAAGUAAAUGUACUGGAAAGUGUAUUUAGUAAG